CGCCCCUCUCUUGUUCUCCGUUUCCCCGCGGCGUACUCUUCCUGCUCUUCCUCCCCCUCUGUUUAUCUCUCUCUCGGUCCUCCCGUGUCCAUCGCGUGCGCUCUGUCUCCGGUGGCGCCGCCUCCGCCACCCUGCACCAGGUAGCCAUACCUUCGCCGGAGACGAGCGCCCACCAGAUCAGAUUCGUGGAUAUGUCUGAUAAUGAGAAAUUGGUGGGGGAGGGAACCACCCGCCGAGGGGCGGACUGGGAAGUUGUCACUCUCACAGCAUCUGCCUAUGAAGCAGCGCCAGGGCCUGUUGGAACGGAAGUAAAGCCUGUUAACGAAGAUCAAGAGCGUAGUUCAUCCGAUGCACUGCUCAUGUCUGACCACUUUGUGUUUCCGCCGAGUGAACACGAGAACCUGCCAAUACAAACCAGUUUUGAUGAGAUACAUGCUGAGAAGGAUGUGCAGAAACCUAGUACCAGUGUGGAGGAUUAUAGUAUCAAGAAUGAUGUUGGGUCUGAGAGAGUUCAGUUUGACGAUGAAGGGAAACACCUCUCAGAUGAUGAUGUGGAGAUGAAAGAUGACACCCCUGGGUACGGUUCCUCUCACGCUGAAGAUGAUGCACAUGGUUUUGUUGCCCAUGGUGAUGGCAUUGAGUCUGGUGAAGAUUUUGAUGAAAAAUCAGGCCACCCUUUAGAGCUCUCAGACAGCAAGAGCUGUGAUACUGGUGCCUCUUGCAAAUGUUGGUUGAAGAAGCAUAUGACAUGCCUGUAUAACCAAACAAAGGAAACAAAUGCUAUCUGGUCUGUGGUGGUUGCAGCUGCACUAGUUGGUAUUGUGAUCUUGGGACGUUGGCACAAAGAUAAAUUCCACCUUAACCAGCUUAAGUGGUGCUCUGGCUCAGCAGUGAGAUCAGAUUCGUGGAUAUGUCUGAUAAUGAGAAAUUGGUGGGGGAGGGAACCACCCGCCGAGGGGCGGACUGGGAAGUUGUCACUCUCACAGCAUCUGCCUAUGAAGCAGCGCCAGGGCCUGUUGGAACGGAAGUAAAGCCUGUUAACGAAGAUCAAGAGCGUAGUUCAUCCGAUGCACUGCUCAUGUCUGACCACUUUGUGUUUCCGCCGAGUGAACACGAGAACCUGCCAAUACAAACCAGUUUUGAUGAGAUACAUGCUGAGAAGGAUGUGCAGAAACCUAGUACCAGUGUGGAGGAUUAUAGUAUCAAGAAUGAUGUUGGGUCUGAGAGAGUUCAGUUUGACGAUGAAGGGAAACACCUCUCAGAUGAUGAUGUGGAGAUGAAAGAUGACACCCCUGGGUACGGUUCCUCUCACGCUGAAGAUGAUGCACAUGGUUUUGUUGCCCAUGGUGAUGGCAUUGAGUCUGGUGAAGAUUUUGAUGAAAAAUCAGGCCACCCUUUAGAGCUCUCAGACAGCAAGAGCUGUGAUACUGGUGCCUCUUGCAAAUGUUGGUUGAAGAAGCAUAUGACAUGCCUGUAUAACCAAACAAAGGAAACAAAUGCUAUCUGGUCUGUGGUGGUUGCAGCUGCACUAGUUGGUAUUGUGAUCUUGGGACGUUGGCACAAAGAUAAAUUCCACCUUAACCAGCUUAAGUGGUGCUCUGGCUCAGCAGUGAGGUGCGCCCGUACAGCUGGGAAAGGAUAAUAGGGGGCGAUUGCAGGCCCAAGCCAUCAGCGUGUGCAACUUAACAGAUUUUAGGAAUGUCAUCCAAGGAAAUGCAAACUUAGAAUAGUGGCCGUUCAGGGAAGUUGGAAAUUUUGAAGGCAUUCAGGGGAUCAAUAUAAAUUUCAGUGGCAAUGAGGAAUUUAUUCAUAUUCUAGCGUGAGGAUUAGCCUUUCACUUUUCACCAGAACCAAGAGGAUGAUCAACAAUUGGCUUGUUGAAAACUCAGAUGAGUCAAUUCAACUGUCACCAAAAUGGUUUUGGAAUAUUGUUGUGACGGUGACGAAAAGGAGUAUGUUCAAUGUAAUAAUAUGUUCAACUGGAAUUUCACUUGCCACCUACAAUGAGUGCCUCGUGGGCUUCUAAGUCAAACUCACUCCUGCCAUACACAUUAUCUUACAGUUUUUCUUGCAACCUGGCACAUGAUUUUUGGUUCCUGGCUUCCUGCUACUUGCUGUGGUGUAUCAUAUAUGUUGACUGAUGGCUGUAGAACAUAGUACAAUUGCAUACUGCAAAGUCUGUUGAAAUUUUGGUGGUUCUGCGAGAACAAUUCACGUGCGAUUGUGAAAAUGGAGGACAAGGAAAGUUUGUUUGGCUCUUAUUUGUUGUUA
Molecule: RNA transcript, 2271 nt
Organism: Zea mays
Lineage: Eukaryota; Viridiplantae; Streptophyta; Magnoliopsida; Poales; Poaceae
Exons: 5
Source: RefSeq, marked validated